CCUACGGGAGGCAGCAGUGGGGAAUUUUGGACAAUGGGGGAAACCCUGAUCCAGCCAUGCCGCGUGAGUGAAGAAGGCCUUCGGGUUGUAAAGCUCUUUCGGCUGGGAAGAAAUCGCACGGGCUAAUACUCUGUGUGGAUGACGGUACCAGCACAAGAAGCACCGGCUAACUACGUGCCAGCAGCCGCGGUAAUACGUAGGGUGCGAGCGUUAAUCGGAAUUACUGGGCGUAAAGCGUGCGCAGGCGGUUGUGCAAGACAGAUGUGAAAUCCCCGGGCUCAACCUGGGAACUGCAUUUGUGACUGCACGACUAGAGUACGGCAGAGGGGGGUAGAAUUCCACGUGUAGCAGUGAAAUGCGUAGAGAUGUGGAGGAAUACCGAUGGCGAAGGCAGCCCCCUGGGUCGAUACUGACGCUCAUGCACGAAAGCGUGGGGAGCAAACAGGAUUAGAUACCCUAGUAGUCCACGCCCUAAACGAUGUCAACUAGUUGUUGGUAGGGUUAAACCUAUUAGUAACGUAGCUAACGCGUGAAGUUGACCGCCUGGGGAGUACGGUCGCAAGAUUAAAACUCAAAGGAAUUGACGG
RNAcentral lists this ribosomal RNA (587 nucleotides) under uncultured beta proteobacterium. RNAcentral's name for it is "bacterial SSU rRNA". It matches the Rfam family "Bacterial small subunit ribosomal RNA", at positions 338 to 916 of the family's 1533-position model. The record is from RNAcentral. Lineage: Bacteria; Pseudomonadati; Pseudomonadota; Betaproteobacteria.